UACGUAGGUCCCGAGCGUUGUCCGGAUUUAUUGGGCGUAAAGCGAGCGCAGGUGGUUUAUUAAGUCUGGUGUAAAAGGCAGUGGCUCAACCAUUGUAUGCAUUGGAAACUGGUAGACUUGAGUGCAGGAGAGGAGAGUGGAAUUCCAUGUGUAGCGGUGAAAUGCGUAGAUAUAUGGAGGAACACCGGUGGCGAAGGCGGCCUGCUGGACCGCGACUGACGUUGAGGCUCGAAAGCGUGGGGAGCGAACAGG
Molecule: ribosomal RNA, 252 nt
Filed under: uncultured bacterium
Lineage: Bacteria
Description: partial 16S ribosomal RNA
Rfam family: Bacterial small subunit ribosomal RNA
Source: RNAcentral